Molecule: small nuclear RNA, 166 nt
Organism: Impatiens glandulifera
Lineage: Eukaryota; Viridiplantae; Streptophyta; Magnoliopsida; Ericales; Balsaminaceae
Product: U1 spliceosomal RNA
Exons: 1
Source: RefSeq, a predicted model, not a curated record
UUACAUACCUGGACGGGGACAAUGGGUGAUCAAUUAGGCCCAUUGCCUAGGAUAGUGGCCUCCAUUGCACAUAAUAGGAGGUGCGCUAACCUAACAUCUCUCCUUUGUGAGAGACUGUACGUCGUAAUUUGUGGCAGCUGGGGCCUGCGCAUGCCGCGGCCCCUCC